AGCGAGAACAGCACAGGUUCACCUCUCCCUACAGUGACGCGCGCUGUCCCUGAGCAGGGUGCGUGCUGGGAUUGUAGUCCUGAAGCCCUGUGACCAAAGGGCUGGGAGGAAUAAUGAGAAACAUCUCCCAGAAAGCCCAGCAAGGCGCUCACACCCCUUUCUCUUCCUCCAGUGAGGCGGAGUGCCCGGCGCCCCGUGCAUGCUGAAAUUGUAGUCCUACAGCGAUGUGAUGAAAGGGCUGGGAGUGUUUAUGGGACUACCUCUCCCAGCAAGCCCAGCGAGGCGCGCACAGACCUGCCUCUUCCUCCAGUGACUAGUGCACUCUUCCUGAGCCAGAGGUAUGCUGAAAUUGUAGUGCUGCAGCCCUGUGACUAAAGGACUGGAGUAGUUAUGAGACUGCAUCUCCCAGCAAGCCCAGCGAGGCACGCACAGCUCCUCGUCUUCCACCAGUGACACACACUGUCCUUGAACACGCUGCAUGCUGGGAUUGUAGUCCUGCAGCCCUGUGACAAAAGACCCCAUCUCCAAAAGAGAAUCAGAGAGGCGGUCUGGAAGCCAUUUAGAAUCCCCAGCCCCCAACCUAGUAGCAAUGGACUUGGAUACAAAGAGGCAACCUACUGACCUCAAAGACACCUGCCCAGAUUCUGGGCAUUGAAUUCUUGCCUCCCUAAGAAAGAUCUCAUCUGAGUCACAUCAAAGCCCACACUCUUCUUCAACGUUCACCUUCCAGACACGUUCCAAAACAGCGCCUCAGAAUUGUCUUGAGAUGAAACAAAAGGUGAUGAAGCUCCAGGUUUGGAAUACCUGCCUCAUUCCUCACUCCUGAAAAGUCUACACCUGCUGGUUAGAACUCUCACACCUUAGGAGCCCAGCCUCUCAGAGUGCAUCCUCUAA
Molecule: long non-coding RNA, 894 nt
Organism: Pongo pygmaeus (Bornean orangutan)
Lineage: Eukaryota; Metazoa; Chordata; Mammalia; Primates; Hominidae
Exons: 2
Source: RefSeq, a predicted model, not a curated record